This 402-nucleotide ribosomal RNA is filed under the name uncultured Sphingobium sp. Its description in RNAcentral is "bacterial SSU rRNA". It matches the Rfam family "Bacterial small subunit ribosomal RNA", at positions 355 to 774 of the family's 1533-position model. The record is from RNAcentral. Lineage: Bacteria; Pseudomonadati; Pseudomonadota; Alphaproteobacteria; Sphingomonadales; Sphingobiaceae.
UGGGGAAUAUUGGACAAUGGGCGAAAGCCUGAUCCAGCAAUGCCGCGUGAGUGAUGAAGGCCUUAGGGUUGUAAAGCUCUUUUACCCGGGAUGAUAAUGACAGUACCGGGAGAAUAAGCCCCGGCUAACUCCGUGCCAGCAGCCGCGGUAAUACGGAGGGGGCUAGCGUUGUUCGGAAUUACUGGGCGUAAAGCGCACGUAGGCGGCGAUUUAAGUCAGAGGUGAAAGCCCGGGGCUCAACCCCGGAAUAGCCUUUGAGACUGGAUUGCUUGAACAUCGGAGAGGUGAGUGGAAUUCCGAGUGUAGAGGUGAAAUUCGUAGAUAUUCGGAAGAACACCAGUGGCGAAGGCGGCUCACUGGACGAUUGUUGACGCUGAGGUGCGAAAGCGUGGGGAGCAAACA